AUGUACUGCUCGCGUAAUUGGGAGAUAUUAUCAGCUGAAUUCAGAGGAGUACAUUGUAUUGUGAAAGAUCGGGCCAAAUCAGUAGCACGACGAGGUUGUGCUUUCAUCAGUUGGUAUUCGGACCAAAGAUUGUUCACGGGUGGACUUAUACUACUUGACUCAUAUACCCUGGAGCGAUACAAGGCAUAUCACCAAAGGCGUGAUCAUGCUCAGGAAGCAAUUGAUGUGAAGGUACUCAAUGACCAAGACAAAGCAGGCAUGGACAUUCAACAUGCUGAAUUUUUGGCAUCGACAGUUUCUGCGGAUGCAUAUGCUGAGAAGAUAGACUUGACGCCGAGGAGGGUUUCGUUUCAGGGAGGAGAGGAUGAUAUGGCAAACACUAGAUCUAUUUGUACCGUCGACCACCAUUACAUACAAGAAGUUGGUCUGGUUUAA
RNAcentral lists this ribosomal RNA (435 nucleotides) under Triticum aestivum (bread wheat). RNAcentral describes it as "partial small subunit ribosomal RNA". The record is from RNAcentral. Lineage: Eukaryota; Viridiplantae; Streptophyta; Magnoliopsida; Poales; Poaceae.